UUAGAGUUUGAUCCUGGCUCAGGAUGAACGCUAGCGGGAGGCUUAACACAUGCAAGUCGAGGGGUAACAGGAGUAGCAAUACUUGCUGACGACCGGCGCACGGGUGAGUAACGCGUAUGUAACCUGCCCUUUACUGGGAGAUAGCCCGAAGAAAUUCGGAUUAAUAUCCCAUAGUUCCUUUUUUUCGCAUGAUUUUUAGGAUAAAGUUUCGACGGUAAAGGAUGGGCAUGCGUACCAUUAGCUAGUUGGUGAGGUAACGGCUCACCAAGGCAACGAUGGUUAUGGGGUCUAAAAGGAUGGUCCCACACACUGGUACUGAGACACGGACCAGACUCCUACGGGAGGCAGCAGUGAGGAAUAUUGGUCAAUGGGCGCAAGCCUGAACCAGCCAUCCCGCGUGAAGGAUGACAGCCUUAGGGUUGUAAACUUCUUUUCUGAAGGAAGAAUAAUUGCGACGUGUCGCAAGAUGACGGUACUUCAGGAAUAAGCAUCGGCUAACUCCGUGCCAGCAGCCGCGGUAAUACGGAGGAUGCAAGCGUUAUCCGGAUUUAUUAGGUUUAAAGGGUGUGUAGGCGGAAUAUUAAGUCAGAGGUGAAAUCCUGCAGCUCAACUGUAGCAAGCCUUUGAUACUGGUAUUCUUGAGUUCGGUUGAGGUAGGCGGAAUGUGU
RNAcentral lists this ribosomal RNA (668 nucleotides) under uncultured bacterium. RNAcentral's name for it is "bacterial SSU rRNA". It matches the Rfam family "Bacterial small subunit ribosomal RNA", at positions 1 to 671 of the family's 1533-position model. The record is from RNAcentral.